Drosophila hydei is the source of this 486-nucleotide long non-coding RNA. RefSeq lists it as uncharacterized. Lineage: Eukaryota; Metazoa; Arthropoda; Insecta; Diptera; Drosophilidae. The transcript is spliced from 2 exons. The record is from RefSeq and is a predicted model, not a curated record.
CGAGAUCCUCAGAUUUGGUUCAAAAUUCGUGUAGUAAACACAUAGAGUUGUGUUAAAAACUUACAUUAUUUUUUGUUAGGUGUUUUUCUCCGAAAGCCGCUCAGCACACGGGUCGUUUAACCAAAUUUCAGCAAAUAACUUUGUUCCGAUUUUGCCCAAAGAAGCUCACUAAUUCAACUAAUUUUUAAAAAAUAUGUGCUGCGGUCCGGCCGGCUGGUGUUCAUUCUGUGGCCCACCUUGUGGCGGACCAUGUUGUCAAGCCUGUUGUGUUGAGAUGUGUUUUUCGCCGUGCACUCCGGCGUAUUUGCAAUGUUCAUUUUGCUGUGGCUGUUAAACGACGGCAGACCUGACGGCCCGUGGCGCAGGCUUCUGGCGUCCGAGGAGCCAGUGGAUCAGACUACUCCGGUCUGGAACGGCCAGCAAGAUUAAUAUUGGCUUACAAAUGCGUCAACAAAAUUGAUGUAAAACCAAAAAAAAAUAAACGGA